AACGAACGCUGGCGGCGUGCUUAACACAUGCAAGUCGAACGGUAAAGCCCUUUCGGGGGUGAUUAGAGUGGCGCACGGGUGAGUAAUACAUAGGAACGUACCUAUUGGUGUGGAAUAACUAGAGGAAACCCUAGCUAAUACCGCAUGAUGUCGCAAGACCAAAGGAGGCCUCUACUUGUAAGCUUCCGCCGAUAGAGCGGCCUAUGUCCUAUUAGCUUGUUGGUGAGGUAAAGGCUCACCAAGGCGAUGAUGGGUAGCUGGUUUGAGAGGAUGAUCAGCCACACUGGGACUGAGACACGGCCCAG
This 305-nucleotide ribosomal RNA is filed under the name uncultured bacterium. Its description in RNAcentral is "bacterial SSU rRNA". It matches the Rfam family "Bacterial small subunit ribosomal RNA", at positions 29 to 334 of the family's 1533-position model. The record is from RNAcentral.